This is a long non-coding RNA of Triticum aestivum (bread wheat), 2997 nucleotides long. RefSeq lists it as uncharacterized. NCBI's taxonomy places the organism in Eukaryota, Viridiplantae, Streptophyta, Magnoliopsida, Poales, Poaceae. The record is from RefSeq and is a predicted model, not a curated record. The transcript is spliced from 4 exons.
CUGAUCUGUUGUUAGCUGGGCCUUGAAUCUUUCCUGUGUGAUCAAUUCAUCCACGCGAUCUCUCUGCAUCCCCGCUCCCCUUCUUCCUUCCACUCGUGCCCUAGGCCUAAUCGCCGUACUGACGAUGAUAGCGAGUGAUGCUUUGGGUUGCUGCCACCACCCCUACUGCUCCCGGUCCCUCUGGUUGUGUUCAUCAAGGUUCCAGUCAACUGAUUCAGGCAAAUGUUGGGCGUUGGUACUCAUCGAGCCGCCGAUCUUCAAUCCGAUCCAUUCAAGUCAAGCUUGACUGAUCGAUGCAGGGCGAACCAAGGCGGGCCUGACUGAUUGAUGCAGGGCGAAGCAAGGCCGGACUCAAUUUCUAUUGGUUCUAUCGAUGGCGGUAACGGCCUCGCUCGACUCUUCCUUGGCGUUGACACUUGACAUGCGGUGGAUUUUCACGUCCCUAUGCGCCUUCCUCUAAUCACUAGAUAACAAUACAAAGGUUUAACAUGGAUUGAUUGGUCGAGGAGAGUAUGUCAACAAGAUAUGAUGCUAGAAACAUGGAGUUCCCCAGGGAGUCAACUCGAUGUACUACAGUAACCUCGGCUGAUCUUAUCUUCGGAACCUCUGAAUGGCUUUACGAUUUGCAAAUAAGGAUCCCUGAUUAUAUUGCUAUGUUUUGAUACACGGUUGUACCUUCCGAAACCUGUGCUGGAUGCUUCGGGUGUUGUCUUCCUCAAUGAGAAAUCGUUCCAUGCACCCGGCAACAGUGAGAACAGACUUCAGAACUUAUGUUAGAACAGUCUUAACUGGAACAAAAUUAACUAAACUCUUGGUCCGAUAUGUAAUUUGUGAUAAAAUCUUACCUUCUUUUGGUUUUCUAACAAAUGUCUUGGCUCUGUUUUGUUUGGAGCCACCCGGUAGUUCUAUGCUGCUACACAAAUACAUUGUGCUUUUUAGGACUGAAUUUUUUUCAUCGUUCAAUUCUUCUGGAUGAUGUUCUAUUUGCUCAUUUUUUAAACUCAUGGAAUGAAACCAUUUUAUUCUCAAAUCUAAUUUUAAAACUGGAUAUGUUUUUUCAUAACCAGCAAAUAUUCUGCUCUCUCAUUUCCAACCAAAAUAUAUAUCUUUAGUAAGUAUUUAACUUUCACCUUGCAUACCUUCAUGCAUUUUAUAAACUCGUAUUGUUCCAUAUACUCGUAUAAUUCCUGUAUUAAGGUGGUCUUUAAUGCGAUCGAUUAUCUAACUUUUCUCCUGCUCUGUUUACAAGUAUGCAGGGCUCAUAUCUCAAGUAUGCUCGAAGCAUUGCUGUUAGGCAAGGUGGUUAAUUCUGUCCAGAUUAUUGAUGGGUGGUUUUCAUCCUUAACUGUAGCUUCACCAAAGUUGGAUUGUUGCAUGCUUGCAGAUACGCGUAGUUUCAGUUUGGCUUGUGAUAUUGAUAUUUUAUAAAAACUAAUUCCAUACUUGAUGUAGAAAGAUCAUUCGGAAAUGAGCAUGUUCCAUGUAAUCUGGGUGGCACUCCCCAUAUAUUCUAUGUACAGAACUCUCCGUUUGCACAACACUGGAACAUUGGUAACAUAUUUUGACUCCGGUAUUUCCUCUCUGGUCUGAUGUACGUCAUCUCAGUCUAUGGAAAAUAAAAGUUUACCCAAAUUAUUAUAAAACCGAUUAAUUAAAAUUUCCAUUUGACUUCCAUCUUUACCCAUUGGCUUAUUUUAGUGAUGUUGAAUAUGGUUACUGCUUCCAUUUUUUCUCCCAUGAACAGAUGAAGCUUCGAUAAUUUGUGAACCUGCAUGCUGCUAUGGUGUUCCACCAAAUUGGAAAUAUGUUCCUACAUUUCCAUGGAAGUGUUUCGUGUAUUUCGCAUGCUUUGAUUUACAAUUAGCUUGGGAAUUACAUCAAUCAGGGAGCACGGACAUUGAACUAUAUAGAGAGUAUGCAUUUAAUAGGUAUAUCUAAGCUUCUUUGUUCAUUUCAAAAUAAGUACUGGAGUUGCUUUAAUGUGUAUGGGUUCCAGACUUAUAUAUUGACUAGAUGUGCGUAUGGGGGCUAGGUAAAUUUGAUGCAGUUAUGCACUAACCAUGGAAACACCACAGCUCCAGCCUCUUAUCAUCGUAGACAUCACAAAGCAACCACCCUGUCAUUAUUUCGAACAUUGAUAUUCCUUAUAAUGAUUUUUUGGGAAUGUUCUUCCCUUUCUGCAGUUAAUGUUGGUAGUUUUCCAUAGAUUGAAGAGAUGCCAGUUCAUUUAAUUUAUGUGCUUAUACUAUUUUGCCAAUUGUUCUUUCUAUUUUGCGUAGCAUCUCUGAAACUUCAAACUUCACUAUGUGGACUGAUCAAGUUGGAAUCUGGUCUUACUUCGUGUGUUAUAUAUAUAGUCUUGUGCUAUACGGAUGAAGUGCAUUUUUAUUAGAUGAUAUCAUUUCCAUUACUCAUGUCGAUUCGUUUUAGCAUGGCCAUACAUUAUAUCUCAAUACUGUCUUCAAAUUCGAGUGGAAAUGAUGUUUUCAAACUUCACCCUGCAAACUCUAAUCUGAAUGUUGUAACAAAAGAAACAAGACUUCCCUUUACCCUUUCAAUAACAAAUUAGGUAUCAACUUGUAUGCGAGCUACCUUUGAGCAAACAAGAUAUAUGUGGUCGGUUUUGAUAGAAUUUUCGCUGAUGCAUGAUUGAGGUGGUGAUCAUGGCUGUAGUGAGGAAUGAUAGAGGGCUACUUGGAGGUGGUUGCUGUAGCACGCUGUGCUAUUAUGACCUGGAACUAUAGAAUUGAUGUCAAGUUUAUAUUUGAUGUUUUUUGUUUCACUAAAGCUUGUACCAAACAAUGAUACUAUGUUCCAUAGAUGGUUUUCUUCGUAUUUAUGAUUUUCCAAGAUCUAAUCUUCUCCAGCGAAUAUAACCGACCAUUAUGCCCAUUAUUUUCAUGCAUCACAACUUAGAUUGAGCAAUGGCAGUACAUUACAUACACAACUUCUCUACUCUUCAUAGUCUUACUACAAAUUUUAUCAUGUAUCUUUAGG